AGACCGGAGCGGGCGGCUCCAGGUGGAAUGGAAAGAGCGGGCUUCUGUGGCGGCUCAGGGCGCUUGUAUGGAUCGUGCUUUUGGUCUAAGAACUCUGCCAAACCCAAGACCACAAAGAUGUUCUCCUAUGUUUCCUUCUAGACGUUUUAGAACGAAGAUUUUAUAUUUAGGCCUUUGAUCCAUUUUGAGCUAAUUUUUGUAUAUGGUGCAGUGUGGAUCUUGAAACUUUUUUUGCGUAUGGAUAUCUAGCACCGCUUGUUGAAAGAGCUAUUCUUUUUCCACUGAAUAGCCUUUACACUUAUGUCAAAAAUCAGUUGUCCUUGUAUGUGUAGGUCUAAGACUUUCUAUUCUGUUGCCAGAUCUGUCUAUCUUUAUGACAAUACUACAGUAUCUUGAUUAUUGUAGCUUUUUAAUGUCUUGAAAUCAGACAGUGUUUGGCGUCCAGUUUUUUCUUUCUCAAAGUUGUUUGGGCUCUUGUGUUUCCACAUGAAGUUUAAAGUCAGUUUAAACUUAGAGCCAGCUGGAGGUGAUUUCCUUUCCCCCAGGUCGAUUAGGCCCUGAUAAAACUCCAGCAGGUUAGACUCUGGUUAAAUAGUUUCACCUGAGGGUAGACCAUGUUAAGAAGAGCAGAAUGCCCUGGUGUAUUUCAAAAUGGUUCCACUUCCCUAACAUCUGCCAGAAGCACAAAGGAAUUUUUCUCUAAUAUUCACCGUGAGGACCUGGUGAGACUCACAAAAGUGUGAGUGGUCCCUCUGGAGUUCAUCUUUUCAGACGUGCCCACACUGAGUCUUCAGUAAUUUGUCAUUACAGUUCAGGUUUCCCUGCCCCGGCACCAGUUCCUGUGGGGGUUUUCAGCUCGUGAGUUUCUUCUCUGCUUCUAGGUUACCUAAAACUCCUGGGAAGUGAAAAGACACCUGGCUAAAGUCAGCAAGACAAUAUGCAAAACUGAGUGUGAUGGAAACUAUUCAUGAAUGAAGAUUAGCCCUGAGCUAACUACUGCCAGCCCUCCUCUUUUUGCUGAGGAAGCCUGGCCCUGAGCUAACAUCCAUGCCCAUCUUCCUCUACUUUAUACGUGGGACGCCUACCACAGCAUGGCGUGCCAAGCGGUGCCAUGUCCACACCUAGGAUCUGAACCGGCGAACCCCGGGCUGUGGAGGAGCGGAACCGGCGAACUUAACCACUGCGCCACCAGGCCGGCCCCCUAAUUCCAAAUUCUUGAUGAGAGGAUCAGAUUUGCCCAGUUAGAGCUCUGUGCUGAUCUCCAGUCCACUUAGCUGUAGUCAGGUCAUAUAGUUCAACAUGAGCUCCAGGGGCCAGCCCAGCGGAUCAAGGGGUGUUUGUAGGGGGAGUUUUUAGACGAAACAAAAGUGUUGCUGAUUCAUUCCCUGGGCACAGAUCCCUGUUAGUUCUCAGGAGCCCCCAAAUGCCUAUAAUUUUGUGGGGCCUAUAUACCCACCCAAUUCUGGGGCCUAGAACUCCUCUUGCCAUAACUCAUUUUAUUAAACAUCUAACUUGAGUAAAUUACAGAGUAAAGAUCUUUUAUUACCAGAGCACUUUAAAGCCUGUUCUGAUUGCUAGAUUAUCUUUGUGGAUGGAUAUCAACCUGAUGCAUGCCUAGCUGUCAUAGUCAAUAGAAGGACAGACUUCCCCUAUUGAUGAUAAUGUUUUGUUUUGUUUUUUUAAGAUUUUAUUUUUUCCCUUUUCUCCCCAAAGCCCCCCGGUACAUAGUUGUAUAUUCUUCGUGUGCAUCCUUCUAGUUGUGGCAUGUGGGACGCUGCCUCAGCGUGGUUUGAUGAGCAGUGCCAUGUCUGCGCCCAGGAUUCGAACCAACGAAACACUGGGCCGCCUGCAGCGGAGCGCGCGAACUUAACCACUCGGCUGCGGGGCCAGCCCCAAUGAUAACGUUUUUUUAAGAAACAUGAAUUGUGGUCCUAUUUUAAAAUCAUUAGUAGAAAAAAGUGGCUUCACAUAACUACAAAUAUAUUUUGAACAGUAACUGGCACAUAGUGGUUAUUCAAUGACUGAAUAUUCAGUGACUUUUCUACAAUAUGUAAUUGGUUUAUAACAUUGCUACACAGAAAAUUUUCGUUUUCUGGAAGGACAUUUUGCAGUUAAAUCAUACACGAGGUGGUCAUGUAGCUCUAAAGAGGUGCUUCAGGGAUGCAUGACUGUGGUUAUUCUUUGGCCAUUGUGGGUGAUAGCAACAGCUGCUUUGAAAGUGUUCCAGCCAAAAUUACUUCAGCUAUGCUUUAUGACAUGGAACUCUGGAAUCCUA
Molecule: long non-coding RNA, 2275 nt
Filed under: Equus caballus (horse)
Lineage: Eukaryota; Metazoa; Chordata; Mammalia; Perissodactyla; Equidae
Description: lncRNA (ENSECAG00000057028.1)
Source: RNAcentral